GAUGAACGCUAGCUACAGGCUUAACACAUGCAAGUCGAGGGGCAGCGGGAUUGUAGCUUGCUUCAAUUGCCGGCGACCGGCGCACGGGUGAGUAACGCGUAUCCAACCUUCCGUACACUCAGGGAUAGCCUUUCGAAAGAAAGAUUAAUACCUGAUGGUAUGAUGAGAUUGCAUGAUAUCAUCAUUAAAGAUUUAUCGGUGUACGAUGGGGAUGCGUUCCAUUAGGUAGUAGGCGGGGUAACGGCCCACCUAGCCAACGAUGGAUAGGGGUUCUGAGAGGAAGGUCCCCCACAUUGGAACUGAGACACGGUCCAAACUCCUACGGGAGGCAGCAGUGAGGAAUAUUGGUCAAUGGACGAGAGUCUGAACCAGCCAAGUAGCGUGAAGGAUGAAGGUCCUACGGAUUGUAAACUUCUUUUAUAAGGGAAUAAACCCUCCCACGUGUGGGAGCUUGUAUGUACCUUAUGAAUAAGCAUCGGCUAACUCCGUG
Molecule: ribosomal RNA, 490 nt
Filed under: uncultured bacterium
Lineage: Bacteria
Description: partial 16S ribosomal RNA
Rfam family: Bacterial small subunit ribosomal RNA
Source: RNAcentral